GACGAACGCUGGCGGCGUGCUUAACACAUGCAAGUCGUACGGUAAGGCCCUUUCGGGGGUACACGAGUGGCGAACGGGUGAGUAACACGUGAGUAACCUGCCCACAACUUUGGGAUAACGCUAGGAAACUGGUGCUAAUACUGGAUAUGUGCUCCUGCUGCAUGGUGGGGGUUGGAAAGCUCCGGCGGUUGUGGAUGGACUCGCGGCCUAUCAGCUUGUUGGUGGGGUAGUGGCCUACCAAGGCGGCGACGGGUAGCCGGCCUGAGAGGGUGACCGGCCACAUUGGGACUGAGAGACGGCCCAGACUCCUACGGGAGGCAGCAGUGGGGAAUAUUGCACAAUGGGCGCAAGCCGGAUGCAGCAACGCCGCGUGCGGGAUGACGGCCUUCGGGUUGUAAACCGCUUUCAGCAGGGACGAAGCUUUUUGUGACGGUACCUGCAGAAGAAGCACCGGCUAACUACGUG
Molecule: ribosomal RNA, 465 nt
Filed under: uncultured bacterium
Lineage: Bacteria
Description: partial 16S ribosomal RNA
Rfam family: Bacterial small subunit ribosomal RNA
Source: RNAcentral